Non-coding RNA from Microcebus murinus (gray mouse lemur), 929 nucleotides. NCBI's taxonomy places the organism in Eukaryota, Metazoa, Chordata, Mammalia, Primates, Cheirogaleidae. The record is from RefSeq and is a predicted model, not a curated record.
CCCACCCCUAUUGAUAGACAUUUGGAUUAUUUAUAUGUUUUCCUAAAUCUUCAUAGAUAUAGGUUAAUAAUAAUUUAUUUCCUUUAGAUAAAUAAAGAUAUGUGGCUUUGUGAAAAACUGUUUACUUUUUUGAGUUUUCAACACAUUAAUAUUUACUACUAAAGGUUGUAAAGAAAAAAAAACAGGGCUGAUGAUAAAGUAGGGCUUGGCAGGAUGAUUUGAUUUGCAUAACUCAAUUCUUGGACUUUUAAAUUAUGUUGACUGAAGAAUUUACAUUUUGCUUAUUCUUAUAAAAUUUAUCAUUUGUAAUUUCAAAUUCUUCCUAAAGUGAGAGUCUCUUGACCAUACUUAUUUCUAUUUCAGUAACAUAAGGCUCAGAUUUCAGCUGUGAUGGGAACUGCAAAAUGGAUUGCUGGCUGGAUCAGGAAGUCCAGCAGAACAUGAUUGAUCGUCACCAACACGCAGAGCCCGUCUCACCCACGAGUGUGUUUUCCCUCCCAGGACCUGACCCCUGGACACUGCUAUGUAGAUCCUGUGCUCCACUCCAGCUGCAUAUCCUGCCACUCCUACAGGGUGUGAUUGGAGAAUGAGGGUGCAGAAGUUGUAGAAGAGUUAUUUUGCAAGAUGAGGACAGCUGAGGAUCAGAAGAGAAUAGUUUGAAUGCUAUCCUGCUCCUGUAGUCAACAGGACUUUGCAUAGGCAUUAAUAAUAAAAGGAUUAAAGUAAUAUUUUAGGAAAAUCUAAUCUGGCCUUCGCAUGUAGAAUGGAUCAAGUGGGGAAGAAGAAAAUGGCAGUGGAUACAUCAAUCUGGAGGGUCCUGAAAUGUGAAGGAGGUGGGUUUCUACAAUUAAGAGACAAUAGGCCAGGCACGGUGGCUCAUUCCUAUAAUCCUAGCAUUCUGGGAGGCCAAGGUGGUAAGAUCGCUUGAA